Molecule: transfer RNA, 74 nt
Filed under: Manacus vitellinus (golden-collared manakin)
Lineage: Eukaryota; Metazoa; Chordata; Aves; Passeriformes; Pipridae
Rfam family: tRNA
About the family: Transfer RNA (tRNA) molecules are approximately 80 nucleotides in length.
Source: Rfam by way of RNAcentral
AGAUUGUUGGCUCAGUUGUUUAGAGCAUGGUGCUAAUAAUGCCAAGGUCAUGGGUUCAAUUGCCAUACAGGCCU